AGAGUUUGAUCCUGGCUCAGAGCGAACGCUGGCGGCGUGCCUAACACAUGCAAGUCGAACGUGAAAGGGAGCAAUCCUGAGUAAAGUGGCGUACGGGUGAGUAACGCGUAGGUAAUCUACCCAAAAGUUUGGAAUAACCUGCCGAAAGGCGGGCUAAUACUAGAUAGAGCGACGGAAUCCGUAAUUGGGUUUUUCGGGAAAGGGAGGAAGCAAUUCCCUUCGCUUUGGGAUGAGCCUGCGUCUCAUUAGCUAGUUGGUGGGGUAAAGGCCUACCAAGGCAUUGAUGGGUAGCUGGUCUGAGAGGAUGAUCAGCCACACUGGAACUGAAACACGGUCCAGACUCCUACGGGAGGCAGCAGUGGGGAAUCUUGCGCAAUGGACGAAAGUCUGACGCAGCCACGCCGCGUGAGUGAAGAAGGCCUUCGGGUUGUAAAGCUCUGUCGCCCGGGACGAAAAAGGGUGAGGUGAAUAGCCUCAUUUUCUGACGGUACCGGGAGAGGAAGCACCGGCUAACUCCGUGCCAGCAGCCGCGGUAAUACGGAGGGUGCAAGCGUUGCUCGGAAUUAUUGGGCGUAAAGGGUAGGUAGGUGGUCUUAUUUGUCUGGGGUGAAAGCCUUGAGCUUAACUCAAGAAGUGCCCCAGAAACGGUAAGACUCGAGUCCUGGAGAGGGUCGUGGAAUUCCCGGUGUAGCGGUGAAAUGCGUAGAGAUCGGGAGGAACACCAGAGGCGAAAGCGGCGACCUGGACAGGCACUGACACUCAACUACGAAAGCGUGGGGAGCAAACAGGAUUAGAUACCCUAGUAGUCC
This 809-nucleotide ribosomal RNA is filed under the name uncultured bacterium. RNAcentral's name for it is "bacterial SSU rRNA". It matches the Rfam family "Bacterial small subunit ribosomal RNA", at positions 8 to 796 of the family's 1533-position model. The record is from RNAcentral.